This 29-nucleotide non-coding RNA is filed under the name Mus musculus (house mouse). The record is from RNAcentral. Lineage: Eukaryota; Metazoa; Chordata; Mammalia; Rodentia; Muridae.
UGCCAUUGUGUGCCUGUGUGGAGUGUGUC